Molecule: unclassified non-coding RNA, 377 nt
Filed under: uncultured bacterium
Lineage: Bacteria
Description: contains 16S-23S intergenic spacer region
Source: RNAcentral
UCCGAGUUGUCCCCGGCAGUCCCAUUAGAGUCCCCGACUUUACUCGCUGGCAACUAAUGGCAGGGGUUGCGCUCGUUGCGGCACUUAAGCCAACACCUCACGGCACGAGCUGACGACAGCCAUGCAGCACCUGUGCUGGCCCCUUACGGACACGGGCUUUCACCCUCCUACUACCUGCAUGUCCAGCCUGGGUAAGGUUCUUCGCGUUGCGUCGAAUUAAACCACAUGCUCCACCGCUUGUGCAGGCCCCCGUCAAUUUCUUUGAGUUUUAAUCUUGCGACCGUACUUCCCAGGCGGCAUAUUUAUCGCGUUAGCUUCGCCACAAAAGGGGUCGAUUCCUUUUACAGCAAAUAUGCACCGUUUACGGCUAGGACUAC